This 1034-nucleotide ribosomal RNA is filed under the name uncultured Paludibacter sp. RNAcentral's name for it is "bacterial SSU rRNA". It matches the Rfam family "Bacterial small subunit ribosomal RNA", at positions 373 to 1408 of the family's 1533-position model. Lineage: Bacteria; Pseudomonadati; Bacteroidota; Bacteroidia; Bacteroidales; Paludibacteraceae. The record is from RNAcentral.
GGGCGAGAGCCUGAACCAGCCAAGUCGCGUGAAGGAAGAAGGUUCUAUGGAUUGUAAACUUCUUUUAUAAGGGAAUAAAAAAGAGUACGUGUACUCUAUUGUAUGUACUUUAUGAAUAAGGAUCGGCUAACUCCGUGCCAGCGGCCGCGGUAAUACGGAGGAUCCAAGCGUUAUCCGGAUUUAUUGGGUUUAAAGGGUGCGUAGGCGGACCAAUUAGUCAGUGGUGAAAGUUUGCAGCUCAACUGUAAAAUUGCCAUUGAAACUGUUGGUCUUGAGUGUAAAUGAGGUAGGCGGAAUGUGUUGUGUAGCGGUGAAAUGCUUAGAUAUAACACAGAACACCAAUUGCGAAGGCAGCUUACUGGGAUACAACUGACGCUGAGGCACGAAAGCGUGGGGAUCAAACAGGAUUAGAUACCCUGGUAGUCCACGCAGUAAACGAUGAAUACUAGCUGUAUGCGAUAUACUGUAUGUGGCAAAGCGAAAGCGUUAAGUAUUCCACCUGGGGAGUACGUUCGCAAGAAUGAAACACAAAGGAAUUGACGGGGGCCCGCACAAGCGGAGGAACAUGUGGUUUAAUUCGAUGAUACGCGAGGAACCUUACCCGGGCUUGAAAUGCAUCUGACCGACGAGGAAACUUGUCUUCUAGCAAUAGCAGAUGUGUAGGUGCUGCAUGGUUGUCGUCAGCUCGUGCCGUGAGGUGUCGGCUUAAGUGCCAUAACGAGCGCAACCCCUAUCAUUAGUUACUAACAGGUUAAGCUGAGGACUCUAGUGAGACUGCCACCGUAAGGUGUGAGGAAGGUGGGGAUGACGUCAAAUCAGCACGGCCCUUACGUCCGGGGCGACACACGUGUUACAAUGGGGGGUACAGAGGGUUGCUACCCAGCAAUGGGGUGCGAAUCACAAAAGCCUAUCUCAGUUCGGAUCGGAGUCUGCAACCCGACUCCGUGAAGUUGGAUUCGCUAGUAAUCGCGCAUCAGCCAUGGCGCGGUGAAUACGUUCCCGGGCCUUGUACACACCGCCAUCCAUAUGACUAG